Myotis brandtii (Brandt's bat) is the source of this 228-nucleotide long non-coding RNA. RefSeq lists it as uncharacterized. The record is from RefSeq and is a predicted model, not a curated record. Lineage: Eukaryota; Metazoa; Chordata; Mammalia; Chiroptera; Vespertilionidae. The transcript is spliced from 3 exons.
UCAGCUUGGUUCUCUCCCCAGGGACAACUGGACAGGCCAUGAGGUCCCACCCUACCAACCUACAUUCUAUGAUGGCUGGCAGCCUCCAGAACCUUCCAACCAGGCACCCUCAGGAUACCAGGACUCCGCUUCCCUCCGGCCAGUGCAGCCAGCCCUGAGAAUGCAAGUCUUAUUCGAGUUUGAAGCUAGGAACCCAAAGGAGCUGACAGUGGCCCCGGGAGAGGUGGU